This 508-nucleotide ribosomal RNA is filed under the name uncultured Glomeromycotina. Its description in RNAcentral is "SSU rRNA". It matches the Rfam family "Eukaryotic small subunit ribosomal RNA", at positions 569 to 1078 of the family's 1831-position model. The record is from RNAcentral. Lineage: Eukaryota; Fungi; Glomeromycota.
AGCAGCCGCGGUAAUUCCAGCUCCAAUAGCGUAUAUUAAAGUUGUUGCAGUUAAAAAGCUCGUAGUUGAAUUUCGGGAUCAAUAUGUUGGUCGUGCCAUUGGUACGUACUGGUAUCAUUGAUUUCUCCUUUCUGACGAACCAUGAUGUCAUUAAUUUGGUGUUAUGGGGAGUUAGGACUGUUACUUUGAAAAAAUUAGAGUGUUUAAAGCAGGUAUUAGCUUGAAUACAUUAGCAUGGAAUAAUGAUAUAGGACGUUUGACCCUAUUUUGUUGGUUUCUAGGAUCGACGUAAUGAUUAAUAGGGAUAGUUGGGGGCAUUAGUAUUCAAUUGUCAGAGGUGAAAUUCUUGGAUUUAUUGAAGACUAACUACUGCGAAAGCAUUUGCCAGGGAUGUUUUCAUUAAUCAAGAACGAAAGUUAGGGGAUCGAAGACGAUCAGAUACCGUCGUAGUCUUAACCAUAAACUAUGCCGACUAGGGAUCGGAUGAUGUUAAUUCUUUAAUGACUCA